UUUAUGACCAAUCAAAUUGACACAUAGAUUAUUAAUUAAAAAAUAUUAAAUUAAACAAAAAAUAGCUACAAAAAAUAAAAACGCUAAUUUUAACAACGCUAACGCUUCAACCUAAACCCUAAAUAUUAAAUUCUAAACCCUAUACCCUAAAUUCUAAACCCAAAUCCAAACCCCUAAACCCAAACCCUAUACCCUAAACCCUAAUCCUAGACCCUAAACCCAAAUUAUAUACCCUAAACUCAAAAACUAGACUAUAAACCUAAACUUUAUACCCUAAACCCAAGUCCUACACCCUAAACCCAAACCGUAAACCUUAAUCUCUAAUCCUAGACCCUAAACCCUAAUCCUAGACCCUAAACCCAAAUUAUAUACCU
RNAcentral lists this long non-coding RNA (374 nucleotides) under Brassica napus (rape). Its description in RNAcentral is "long non-coding RNA (BNAP_LNC013322)". The record is from RNAcentral. Lineage: Eukaryota; Viridiplantae; Streptophyta; Magnoliopsida; Brassicales; Brassicaceae.